GACGUAGGGCGCGAGCGUUGUCCGGAUUUAUUGGGCGUAAAGAGCUCGUAGGCGGCUUGUUGCGUCGACCGUGAAAACCCGGGGCUCAACUUCGGGCUUGCGGUUGAUACGGGCGGGCUGGAGUUCGGUAGGGGAGACUGGAAUUCCUGGUGUAGCGGUGAAAUGCGCAGAUAUCAGGAGGAACACCGGUGGCGAAGGCGGGUCUCUGGGCCGAUACUGACGCUGAGGAGCGAAAGCGUGGGGAGCGAACAGG
This 253-nucleotide ribosomal RNA is filed under the name uncultured bacterium. Its description in RNAcentral is "partial 16S ribosomal RNA". It matches the Rfam family "Bacterial small subunit ribosomal RNA", at positions 524 to 776 of the family's 1533-position model. The record is from RNAcentral.